GACGAACGCUGGCGACGUGCUUAACACAUGCAAGUCGAACGGGAAGGCCCUGCUUUUGUGGGGUGCUCGAGUGGCGAACGGGUGAGUAACACGUGAGUAACCUGCCCUUGACUUUGGGAUAACUUCAGGAAACUGGGGCUAAUACCGGAUAGGAGCUCCUGCUGCAUGGUGGGGGUUGGAAAGUUUCGGCGGUUGGGGAUGGACUCGCGGCUUAUCAGCUUGUUGGUGGGGUAGUGGCUUACCAAGGCUUUGACGGGUAGCCGGCCUGAGAGGGUGACCGGCCACAUUGGGACUGAGAUACGGCCCAGACUCCUACGGGAGGCAGCAGUGGGGAAUAUUGCACAAUGGGCGGAAGCCUGAUGCAGCAACGCCGCGUGCGGGAUGACGGCCUUCGGGUUGUAAACCGCUUUCGCCUGUGACGAAGCGUGAGUGACGGUAAUGGGUAAAGAAGCACCGGCUAACUACGUG
Molecule: ribosomal RNA, 468 nt
Filed under: uncultured bacterium
Lineage: Bacteria
Description: partial 16S ribosomal RNA
Rfam family: Bacterial small subunit ribosomal RNA
Source: RNAcentral